RNA transcript from Metopolophium dirhodum (rose-grain aphid), 3952 nucleotides. RefSeq lists it as uncharacterized. NCBI's taxonomy places the organism in Eukaryota, Metazoa, Arthropoda, Insecta, Hemiptera, Aphididae. The record is from RefSeq and is a predicted model, not a curated record. The transcript is spliced from 4 exons.
UAUUAUAUAACAUAGUGCACAGUGAUUUAGCAGUAAUAUAAAUUGAAUAAUAUAAUAUUUUAAAGCACACUAUAAGAUGUUAUCUUUGUAGUUUUUAAUUAAGAAGAGAACUGGUAAUUCAGCAAUUUAUACAAAUAGUCUUUUCUGUGACUGGGAUUUAGCACUUCUCUAACAAAAACUGUGUACACAAAAUGAUUAACAAAAUUAUGUGGAAAAUACAACAUUUGAAUAAUGCAAUGGCUGGUAGCACAAAGUUACACAAAAAUAAAAACUGUUUCAACCACAACUGUAUGAAUGGACUAUUUUUAGUUAUCUUUACGAUGGCUUUGAUGUUUCCCACGCAUAGUAGAACACUUAAAUCAGAGCCGAAUGAAAUCAGGUGCCUAGAUUCAAUGACGUGCACAAAAUGUACACUCAAACCUAUGUGUGUAUGGUCCCUUAAACGACAGACAUGUGAAAACACGAAUCAAUAUAUUUCGUCGAGUUUGAUAGUUUCCAGAAUAGGGGAAUGUCCAAAGUUUUCGGUAGUUAAAAAAUAUGAUUAUCACUAUAAAGAUGAUUUAAAAAUUUUAGUGAACAUCAAUGUUGAGAUAACGAAUGAUGUGGUAAGUUUCAUAAAUUAUCUUAACACCUAUCAAAUGUAUUACGUAGUUCAAGGUGCAUUUGAACGAUCUUGUAAGAUUAAUAACGAAUCUAAAAUAUUGAUAUCAUUUUUUCAAACAAAAUCAUCAGUUAACAUCAAGCCGGACAUUUCUUUUAUAUUUAUUAAGUUCAAUAACAUUAUGAUACGAUUUGACAACGUUGCUAAUCACUAUGUUACGGUGUAUGGACAUAAGGAAUGUGCCACUGAUGAGAAGUUCAAAAUCUGUACGACAUGUGGAUGGAAUACAAACGGGUACUCGAACUACUUGAAAUGGUGUUCCUCCGAAAACACCUGUAAAGAUGACAAGAGUUUAUACAUUAAGAACAAUGCUACAAAUCAGUUAAAUGAAAAAGUAGCGUACGUGACGAAUGAUUGUGCAGAAAUAAAUGUGACUGCGGUAAAUCCGCUGUCUGGACCGAAAACCGGUGGAACGACCCUAACGAUCAUAGUUAGGAACCACAGGAUAUUCGUUGAUAACCGAACGUUAAAGGUAACGGUGGCAGGAACAGUGUGCACGAAUCCCAAGACGUCCGGACUCGAGACUAUAACUUGCACUACGUCACAAGCGGUUGGCACAUUAUCCGGUCCGGUCUUGGUUGAGUACUCGUCGAUUGAAAGCGGACUGAAGAUUGAGUCGUCCCAGAUAUUCCUGUUUUGUGACAAUCCCGUACUGGAUGCGGACCAACAACUUGGAGGCAUAGCGUCCGGUGGCACUUCUGUGCAGAUUCGUGGAAGACAUUUCAUAGAACCUUGCGUUGUAUCCUCUGUCCAACUGUACGUUGACCUGCCGAAUGGUGUCAGAAGGUACGCAUACAAUUUUUGCGAUCCACCGGUUAACGACACCUAUAUGGUUUGCCAAUCACCAAGAAUGAACGGCGCUAGCUGGGACGGGAACCAAUCGGUGGUGGGACAGCUGCUUAACUUCGGGCUUGACGUGCUGAAAUUCACUGGAAAUCAGUCUUUGCACGUCAACGGGACAUCACUUAACUUUCACGUGCACCCCGAUCCGGUUCUUGAAGAUUUCGUAAUGGAAGAAGCUGGUUCAGUAGUCAUCAACGGCUUUAGCUUAGAUCACGUGCAACUGGAUGACAUCGUGGUACGGUUUCUUAAUUAUUCAGCUACGGGUUGCGUAGUCGUGUCGGUUAAAGCAAAUCGUAUUGUAUGCGACCCAACCAUGACCAUCGCUCCAGUUGAUUUGCACGAGAUCUUGGUAAAAAUUGGAGAUUCGUUGACGUACACUUUGGAAAAUAGAUCACCGACACCUAUCGCUGAUCCAUUCAAUCUUUCCGUUUCUAUACUUCCGUCCAUAUUUCCAGAUUCAAAUAAAACCAGUUGUUCGGAUUUCAUGACGUGCACCAAAUGUACAAUAAAACCCAUGUGUAUAUGGUUCCUUCAACAACAGACAUGUCAAAACAGGACUCAAUUCAACUCGUCGGGUUCAUUUGUCUUUGAAAUUGAGGAAUGUCCACGAUUUUCAGUAGUUAAAGAAUAUAAUUAUGGUGAAUCAAGUGUUUCCCUGAAAUACAUUGUUAAUUUAUCGAAUGAAUUGGUAGGUUUUAGAAAUUAUCUUAAAGACAGUAUACUUUAUAACAGAUUUCCAACAUAUUGCAAAUAUCCAACUGUACAGGGUAACGCACAUAACAAAACGAUAAUAGCAUGUGAAUUCUACGUAAAGAAAUCUUAUUUUGAUUAUAAUAAUCCAUCGUUCACUUUUUUUACUUUUAUUAUUGUCAAAGACGUAAUGCUAAGGUUUGAUAACGUUGCUGAUCACUACGUUACUUUUUAUGAAAAGAAAGAGUGUGCAAAUGAUGAAAAGUACAAAUCAUGUGCAACUUGUGCAUGGAAUAAAGAUGGGUAUUCAAACUACUUGAGAUGGUGCUCAUCCGACAACACCUGUCAGGUUCGUAAGAAUUUAUAUAUGGUGAACAAUGGUAAAGAACAGUUAAACGUAAAAUUCGUGCAAUUGACAAAUGAAUGUGGUGAAAUAAAUGUGACGACAGUAGAUCCGCUUUCUGGGCCGGAAACCGGUGGCACGAUUGUAACGAUCACAGUGAGGAACCAUGAGAUAUUAGCAGAGAACCGAACAGUAAUUGUGACGAUGGCAGGAACAGUGUGCAUGAACCCCAGGACAUCAGGAUCAGAGACUAUAAUGUGCACCACAUCACAAUUCAACAAAACAUUGUCCGGUCCGAUUCUAGUCGAGUACUCAUCGAUCGAAAGCGUGUUGAAGAUUGAGUCGACUCAAAUAUUCCAGUUUUGUCUCAAUCCCGUACUGGAUGUUACCCACCAACUUGGAGGCGUAGCAUCUGGUGGCACUUCCGUGCCGGUCCGUGGCAAUAAUUUCGUAGAACCAUGUUUUACAAUUCUUGCCCGGCUGUAUGUUGACCUGUCUGAUGGUGUCAGACGGUAUUCAGAUAGUUAUUGCGAUCCACCAGUCAACGACACGUAUAUGGUAUGCCGAUCGCCAAAAGUGAACGGCGAUAGCAAGGACGGGGACGCGUCAGUUGUGGGGCAGCUACUGAACUUUGGACUGGAAAUAACAUUCAGUAAAGAUGACUUCUCUUUGAAUCAGUCGCUUCCAAUCGUGGUUCGUGGUCCAUCACUCAGAUUUUACGUGCACCCUGAUCCAGUUCUGUUAGACUUUAAAAUAGACGAAAGUGGUUCAAUAGUCGUCAAUGGCGUCCACUUGCAGCAUGUACAGCCUGAAGACAUCGUGAUACAGGUGAUGGAUUCACCAUCUUCAGUUUGCCUAGUCGUUUCGGUGAUACGAGACAGUUUGGUGUGUGAGCCGAAUAUGUCCGUCAAUGCGUCUCAAGUGAUCUUCGUCACAUUGGGAAAUUCGUUGGUGUUCACAGUGAUUAGGAGAACUGACGAUCCGUCCAAACUUAAUGGCUGGUUCCUCGUGAUUAUUGCCAUGUCCACGGUGCUGGUAUUUGUCUGUGCCUUAUCAUUUUGCCUAAGAACAAAACAUCGGGAUAACAUGACAGAAAAUAUUCGUAACCCACUUGAGGCAUCCACAAGUACACAGGACAUAUUCGAACACACUGCGCUGUAAUUUAAAAUCAUAAUAUUGGAAGUGUAUGUUCGCUGGCUGUUUUUAUAAAGACAUUAAUAAAAUUACACUUCAAUGUGAGUUACGGUUCCAGAUAGCAAUAUUCUUUUGAGGGUUUAUUGUAGUUGACAUACCAAGAUUAGCUGAGGACUGUUCCUAGAAUCUAUUCAACCCUCUUAAAUCAAUUUAUCUAAAUAUUGUUCAUACUUUGAAAUUCUUAAGCCAGUCCCGCCCUACAGAACUAUUGUAUUCAUCAA